AGGCAUACCAUUUAUUCAUAUUCAUAUCUAUUGAAAUACUGUACAUCCACAUACUUCAAUAAAUAGUUAAAAACCUGACCUCUUUUUAAAUCAUUUCUGGAUUUCAAAAAACAAUUUUUAUUGAAAAGAUUAAAUAGGUAACUUUUGGCUGUGUCACAAAGCUAAGCACAAUGGAUAAAUUAACAAUUAUUCAGUAAAUUUGAUCAUUGUAGAUGAAUGACUUUGAUAAUUUAGUUUUUCAGAGUAUUUUGACUUCAAACAUAGGGGUAUUUAUAUAUAUAUAUGUGUGUGUGUAUAUAUAUAUAUAUGUUUGGGGUUUUUUUGCCCUGAAUUGUCUGGGUAAUUUUCUCAGUUCUCCAGUCUACUUUCUAGAUAUAGCUUAAACAUUAUGAUGAAGCAUUAAUUUUUCAGUUAAGUCAUAAACCCCCCAAAAGCGGCUUUACAUUUGAAAUUCUCUCUCUCAAAUCUCUUAGUGUCUCAAAAACACUCACAUUACUAUAACUUGGGCAAACUUUUUAUUAUAUAAUUGCUGCAUAAUAGGAACUCAAUGGUAUAAUAGGACUUACGUUUCAAAUGUGCUCAUUGUAAAACAUAAUUACACCACUUGCAGUUAAACUAAGAAUGCAAAUGUGUAAGUUAACUACCCUAACACUCUGAUUCUUCCUUCCCUCUCAUCCUUUCUUUCUCCCUGCCUUCUUCCCUUCCUUCCUUCAUGCCUUCCACCCUUCCUUUUUUCCUCUUUACUGCCUUUCCUUUUCAUUCUUUUUCUUUUCUCUCCAUUCUCAUUUUUAAACUGCUACUUAUUUUUCUUUCUCCCUUCUUUAAAAAAAUAGGGGCAACAAAAGGAGUCCCACAAAUGGAACCUGUAGAAAAUAUAAUCCUGAAAUGAACAGCUAACAAAACUUGUUAUAGAUUAAAAGAUAAAUCAAUUUAUAAAACUGCUAUUCUGAAAUUGCAACAAUCUUGUACAGUCAGGACUGAUAAAAUGGAGUAAUCAGACAUUUUAUAUGUCCAUAAAUGUAAAAUCAUCUACUUGAACAUUAUAUGCAAUACAUUCACACAAUAAAGCAAAUACUGUAGCCUUAUUUGACAAUAUUGAACUCAUAAAUACUCAUGAUUUCACUCUGUCCGAGGGCCUAAGGACUAGGAAUGCUGCUGUGAUACAGAAAAACAUAGUGAAUACCUCCUCUAUUUAAAAAUGUCACUCAAGAAAGUCUCUUCUAACAUAAAGGCAAAUACAUAUAGCUACUGAGCUAUGACUGUACUUCUGUCACAUUCUAUGGUAAAAACACCAGACUCCACAAAUUCGGAAUCAUGACAACACUUUGAACUAAUUAUUUGGUUCAUCCAUAGUUUAUACCUCAAUUUACCUACAAACCUUACAAAGAGGAGGUAUUUUAAUUCUAGGAAAGCGGUCACUGAAUAAUACGCAUUCUUGAUCUGUUUCUUUCUCCCAAACAAUGGUAGUGAUGGUUAACAUUUUCUGUGGUAGCACCACUAUUUCUAGUAAGUAGAUUAUUAUGGAGUGUGCCACUUUAAAGCUGCAAUACAAAAUAAUAUUUUGUAGUUUAUUCACCAAUUCCACAAAGAAUAUUUUUUAAAAGCAAAUAAAUAAUAAAGUUAAAUGCCAUAUUUGUUCUAAAAACUCUUUUUUAAUGUAUCAAUCAAAAUAAUGUCAUACAUUUAUUAUAGUUAGUAGAUUUACUAGCUUUAUGCCUUAUCAUUACG
Molecule: long non-coding RNA, 1728 nt
Filed under: Macaca fascicularis (crab-eating macaque)
Lineage: Eukaryota; Metazoa; Chordata; Mammalia; Primates; Cercopithecidae
Description: lncRNA (ENSMFAG00000053699.1)
Source: RNAcentral